AGACUCCUACGGGAGGCUGCAGUCGAGAAUCAUUCGCAAUGGGCGAAAGCCUGACGAUGCGACGCCGUGUGAGCGAAGAAGGCCUUAGGGUCGUAAAGCUCUUUCGCUUGGGAACAAGAGAAGCUGACUAAUAAUCAGUCAAUUUGAGCGUA
RNAcentral lists this ribosomal RNA (152 nucleotides) under uncultured Chlamydiales bacterium. RNAcentral's name for it is "partial 16S ribosomal RNA". It matches the Rfam family "Bacterial small subunit ribosomal RNA", at positions 333 to 477 of the family's 1533-position model. Lineage: Bacteria; Pseudomonadati; Chlamydiota; Chlamydiia; Chlamydiales. The record is from RNAcentral.